UAUUAUUAAUAACCUAUAAUAAGAGUUGGAAAGUACGAACAACUGUUUAAACACCAAAGAAUUUGGCGGUGUCUUAUCUUAUUAGGGGAACCUGUCCUAUAAUUCGAUAAUCCACGUAUAGAUUACCUAAUUUAGAAAUUCAGUAAGUGUACUGCCGUCUUUAGUAUACCUUUAUGAGAGUAUACAAUAAAUUUUAAAUUUAUUUUACGUCAGGUCAAAGUGCUGCCUAUAAUUGGGAUGAGAUGGGUUACAAUCUUUAUAUAGAUAACGGAAUAAAAUAUAAAUAUAUUUUAUAAAGGUGGACUUAAUAGUAAUUAUUUUAUAAAAUAAUGAAAAUAUAUUAAGACAAGU
This 351-nucleotide ribosomal RNA is filed under the name Haementeria acuecueyetzin. RNAcentral describes it as "partial 12S ribosomal RNA". Lineage: Eukaryota; Metazoa; Annelida; Clitellata; Rhynchobdellida; Glossiphoniidae. The record is from RNAcentral.